Long non-coding RNA from Mustela lutreola (European mink), 4462 nucleotides. RefSeq lists it as uncharacterized. The transcript is spliced from 2 exons. NCBI's taxonomy places the organism in Eukaryota, Metazoa, Chordata, Mammalia, Carnivora, Mustelidae. The record is from RefSeq and is a predicted model, not a curated record.
UCAGAGGAGUCUGUCCAGGUCAUCUCCACACAGUGGUUUCCUUUCUGUCCCGCCACCGAAAAAUACACGGCCCCCAACUGCACUAACAGGAAGAGAACAGAGCCACAAGUCAACUGAAAGGAAGAGAGGAAAGAAGGCAUUUCCCCCCACCUCUGGCAAAGGGACUGAAGGUGGCCAGAAGAAGGAAGAUGCCUUUCUAAGUUAGUUCUUCUAGUUUUCAUCCUGACAUUAUUCAAGGGAAGGCGUCAUGGGCACAUGGAAGGACAGAUCUUUGUUUUGAAGUCCUGUCCCUCCUCAUCAUUCACGGAAAGUAGUAACAAGCCGCUAACGAGCAGAAUGUCUCAUCUGAAAUGUAGGAGGAAGGAAGUCCGUCCCCAAGAGACGCCUCUCCCCACCAGUGAAGGACUCGGCCAGUGGUGAGCAUGAGGAAAGUACAUGGCUCCUUCCGUGCUGUCUCUUGGUGGUGGGGUGCAGGUAGGGGGGGUUCGGGAACAUAAAGGUCUUCUACACGUGGACUUCAUAAAAACUUUGUGUUAUAAAAGGUUAUAAAAAUGUCUAAAGCAGUCACGGGAAUUGUUUCGUUUGAUCUCUGCACCAAGGAUGUAGGGCCUGCAAAGUGCAGGAGGCAUGUUUUUUACACUGGCCAUUUUAGUAUUCAUGUCUCCUGUACUGCUUUCUAAUAAGUUAAGAAUGAAACGGGAGACUGCGUGCAGGAGUGAGAAAUGCAGGGGAAGCAGUACUGUAAAAUAAAAAUGAACGAAAGUGCAUCCCAACUUCCCUUCUAUUAUCAACAGUCGAGAGAAAAACAAUGCCAAUUUUACUGUUACUACUUAACAUUUUACACUGACAAGAGGACUUCACAGUCAUUUUUAUAUGUUAUUUCCCAAUACUUUUUCUGUGAGAGACCACGGAGCUCCAUCCCUAUUCUCAACAUUAAUUAUAUAAUGUUAUAUUAAAUGAUUUUUCCAAAGAGGCAGAUAAAAAUGCAAUCUGUGUCAGCAUGUUACCAAUACAGUCUUUUCAGUGGGAGUAAUUGUUCCCUUUGCUGUUUGGGUAGACCUGACCCCUGACUGGCUGGCGGUUGGAUUUUGUUUUCUUUUAGGUCCUGUCGAUCCACUUUCUCCCUUCUACUCACCCUUCUCCAUUCAAUUUAUUAUUAUUUGUGUACUCCUUAAACUGUGAUUCUAAAAUAUCACAUAAUAGGGUAAGAUCCAAAGAGAGUCACAACUGCCUUUCCUUUGCAUUCUUCUUUGUUGUCCGAUUCGUGUCAGCCAUGUGGUUCCCAUAACUGGGUUUCUGUGCGCCUGCCUGUGGAAUGCCAUCUUUCUCGAAGGAGCGUGUUUAUGAAACAGGCUGAGACAUCUGUGUUCAAGCCACAUGGGCAAAGGAUUCUAAGAGUCAGAGGCUCUAGCUGAGUCGGGUUUUAGGUUUUUGCAAGUUAGUUUAUUUGUCAGUUUGUACGGGGAUAGCCAUUUAAUCAUUAAGCAGAUCCCAAGCCUGGCCCUGUCUGCUAGCAUUAACUGACAUUCACAUCUCCCUGCCAGUAAAUUUAGCGGUUCUUCAGGGGCAAAAGAAUGACAGUGGGAAGCUCUGAAAUCCUUAAUGUUUCGCUGGAUUUAGGGAGAAUUUGGAAUUUUUUUUUUUUCUAUUUGAGUAAGAAACAUUUCUUCCUUUAUUGUUAGAUGGCCCGAAUAGCAUGGAAGUCUGUCUGUGACCAGUCCUAUUUAUUAGCCAAAUAAGAUGCCUUAAUUAAAAAAUAUACACCACAGCAGAAAUCAUCCAGAUAAACUGUCUAUCUCUCUCCAACAAACCUGGAAAAUAUGCCUUCACUUGGGGCCAUGUAGUCACAGCCCAGCAGGUAAUAAACUCUAUUUUUUAAAGUACAAGUCCCAGGGAAAUCAAGAGUGUAAGUGGAGUAGACAUUUAUUUCAAAGCUGUAAGCAUGCCUGACUAUAGAAAAGAGGUUCGAGAUCUUUGAGUAUGUUCCCAUUAUAAGAACUUUUCUAUACAUUCAAGUCUUUAUUUUCUUCCAUUUCAAACCUGUGAAUGGAGUCAACUGACCGUCAUUUCUCUCUCCUGCUGAGUCUGUAGAUUACCACAUGCAACGUAGGAAAACUACGGAAACUAGGUUCCUGGCUCUGGGACCUCGGGACAGAGUGCUGUAUCUAUUGCCCUGUACCUGGUCUCCUCUCUGCAUGGAGAGUGUGAGUUAACUGACACCUCUAGGGUAUAAAGGUCCACACAGUCCUCGUCCUCAGAAUGGUGGUGUUGUGAUAAUAAUGGCCAUGACACCUGCAGGUGGUUGAGCUCACGCUAUGUGCUAGAUGACUUAUAAACACAAUUUUGUUUAGAAAAAUACUCCAAUGGUGCUGACAGAAUGAAGAAGCCACGACUUGGGAAACUGACAUGUCUGGAUCAAGGUCAAAGACAUGGGUUGGAACUCAGGUCUGACUGUUUCAAGUUUAUGUCUUCUUACCACAUCCUUCUAAGUUAAGGUAAAAAAUUUGAGCAGGGUGACCCUACGUUCCCGUCUAUCCCUGUUGUCCCAGCAUAAUCAGUAGGUCCCCAUGUCAUGCUCUGAAGUGUCCCCGUUUGGAGACAAAAUGAUCACUCUGUCCCCAAACAAGCUUUCAAAUGAAACUAAGACUUUUCUCAGAGUAUUAUUCAUAAUGUUUUAGUUAAUCCUUUUGCCUUUAACGAAGGGUUUCAAACCAGUAGCAAACUGGGCCUCGCCUGGUGUAUGUGGGAAAGCAGAUGGGUUUGUGAAUGCCUAUCACUUCUUUUGCUUCUAGGCCUCUGUCCUCUCUCUUCAGGAAUCUUUGUCUUUCCUUUUUCUUCUCUCCUCCUAGCAUCCAUGUCUUAUUCUAUGUAGGCUUUCUCUAGCCUACAGAUUCUUUGGUUUUACUUUAAAAAUACAGCUUGGUCACUCAUUCAGAUGUUCAAAUCUCUAUGAAUGGUCCUUUUGUCAAAAAACAGAGUGAAAACCAUUUUAAGGAUCUGUAACUUAUUUUUCUUCCCUCCUUCUCCUUAAGCUUCCCGCUACUAUCCCCCCACUUCUUCCACAGUGUACAGGUGUCUGGGGAGCUUCCUCGUCGCAGAUCCUGGACGAUGCUACCGGCGGUCUCACCGGGGGGGCAACCACUGAAAGGAGUGACUACCCACCCAUCAAGAGCUGGCAAUUCGCUGCUAUUAACCGUGACUGUGAUUCCCAGUCUGCCUGGCAGCUCCUGAGAACAGGCCUGCAACGUCUCAUAUGCAGUAAAAGCUGUAAGAUGCACCCUGGCCGGCACACUCGACCUGAUGGAUGUGCGAUCCUCGGGAAGGCUAAUGGAUUGAGCACACUUGCAAUUGGCGCGGGGACAGGAGGCCCAGACCCCCACGAGGGGCCUGCUGAUUUAACGGUCGCUUUACAUAUAAUUGAACUUUUCAUUUACCUGAAAGGCUGAAGGUGGUGGUGGAAGAAAGGGAACGACCAUGACGAAAGGAAAAAACUCAAUAAAUACAAAAAGGUCCCUCUUAAAUACGAUCGCGACCCACGGUGGGGGCUCUGAAUCUGUUAGGACACAUUCAGCCCGUCGUUCAGAUUCCAGGACGCUUGGCAAAGUAUGCCCUUGUGGAGAAGCACUGUUUGUUGGUUAAGAACCUAACAUUCGGAGAGUUAACUUAAUACAGUUAAUGACAUUUCCAUGUGAAGGAAGGGAACAGGAGAAUUCCUUUAAUGAAACUCUGGUGCCAGUGAAUGCAUUGUCUAUGCCUCAGUAGAAAAAAUGCCUUCUGGAGAAACUCCUAUCAGGGAAUUAUGGAGAGGGGGAGCUGGACUUCCAGAAGGAUGCCUAAUGUAAUAUCAGUUUGCAAUAUUGAUUUUGUCAUGCAUAAAAAGCCCCCUUGCCUCUUUGAAUUUAAGGUGCUUUGGAACUGUACCCAUAUGCCUUACAGAUCAGUGGUUGGGAAACAAAACCGGAAUCCAACGGCAGAGCGCUCCAUACUUUGAGGAUUUUGGUGAUUGGGGUGGUUUGCUAAGAGCGGUGAUGGAAACUCGGUGUUGUAAGUAGCUUUCUAUUAAUUUGAAAUGAGAACAUACGUCAUUGAUGUUCUUGGGAAUUUCCUAAAUGCGCGGUUACAGGACUGAUGGAGGACUAUUUUAUUGUUGUCAUUUUAAUCCAAAUAAUCAACCACUCGGUGAGUCUAAGACAAGUCAAGAUGAGAGCAAGUACUCUUUUUCAGGCCGCUGCUACUGAGUACCCUAUGGAGACUUCUCCUGUUCAGAGAGAAGGUGCCACUGGGUGGCUGUCUUGCCGUGACACCUCUACCUGCUGCCAGACUGUGGAGGCCGCAUACAGGCCAGGCCAAUACUAUGGUUAGACGAGAGAGGAAAGGACUCAGGGCAGUGAUAGUGGGACCGAAGCAAUCUAAUUCAAUCUCUGUUUUGACAUUUAAAUAAAGGUACUGCUUUUAAAACGUG